GGGAGCUUGGCUCAGUUGGAAGAGCGCAGGUCUCAUAUGAAAUUGUGUCGCAAUGACAAAAGAGAAAUAUGAUCUGGUUGGUUCAAACAAUCAGAGCUAUCCUGAGGUCGUGAGUUCGAGCCUCACAGUUCCCA
This is a non-coding RNA of Triangularia setosa, 134 nucleotides long. Lineage: Eukaryota; Fungi; Ascomycota; Sordariomycetes; Sordariales; Podosporaceae. The record is from the annotation of a GenBank genome assembly.